This is a long non-coding RNA of Hirundo rustica (Barn swallow), 2413 nucleotides long. RefSeq lists it as uncharacterized. Lineage: Eukaryota; Metazoa; Chordata; Aves; Passeriformes; Hirundinidae. The transcript is spliced from 3 exons. The record is from RefSeq and is a predicted model, not a curated record.
GCGGCCUCCGGGGCACCACGGGUGCUCCGGGGACACUGAUGCCGAGCCGCCGAGCAGCACAAUGCCGCGGAGUGCAUGAAGGGAGAGACAGGGUGUAUAGCGAGCUAAGGAACAAAGAAGGGCAGUGUUCAUCGGUGCCUCCCCUCUAGGAGCAAUGGAGGGCCCGAGAUGGCGCCCAGACCCAAAGCCGAGGCACCUGGCUGGCCUGCCCGGGUUCUGGGUAGGACGUGUCACCAAGAGACCCUCCAGCCUGGUACGGCCCUCUGCUCAUUAUGUGAGCAGUCUUCAAGAUUCCAGGUAUUCCCCGUACCGGUUGUGGCUCACUGAGGGUCUGCACCUGAGGACCGCCGACUGGGUCCUAGCGUCGGUAAAUACCGAAGAGCAGGGCCCCUGGCCAGUCGAGGAAGUUUCUUUCAGUUCAGGAUGAGCCCUGCCAGAGCACAGUUUCUUCCCCCGAGGAAUUUCCAUCACCUCCUCGGGGUCUGCCUGAUCGUCAGCAGCCUCAGUCUCCAAACCGCUGGAUGGAUCAUACCGCAGCCGAAGGCCAACGUGUGGGCGACGUUGGCCAGAUCAAUGGGCCAAGAUCACAUCUGCCUCACGGCUGCGUCAGCAGAUGACCCUCUCUCGACCUGUCUCGUGGGGAUCCCCUUUAAGCCCGAGGAGUUCCCCGCGGAACUUCUCAAAUACUUGAGAACAGCUAACCAGGUCCGGCCCCACCCUUAUACUUUAAAAGGCCCUAUUAAGAAUCCCUUUGCCAUAUGGUCAGGUUUUGAGCACUCCCUUCCCCAAUUGGUUUCUUACCCCACCGAAUUAGAGCUUCUAAGUUCGGUUAAUGCCUCCUUUUGCGUUAAGUUCAUUUAUACCCCCCCAAAGGAACAGGAUCAACUUUACCACCAGAUCUGUCCCCAUCGCCUAAUGCCAGACGGCUGGUGCCAGGACACCGUAGAGGUCCAUAUACCAACUACCACCCGUCAUAAGCCCCUUAAACUCCCAAAGGGAGUGUUCAUGAUCUGUGGUGACUGAGCGUGGGCAGGCAUCCCCCCUCUCCCCACAGGAGGUCCUUGCACAUUAGGCCAGUUGAGCUUGUUUACCCCCAACAAAACUUCUGUGGCUAAUUGGCAACGCAAAUUAUCUCGUAAUUCGGCUAUUCAAAAAAGAGAUCUCAGUGCAAUUGACCCCGAAUGUGAUCAUGAAAUUGUCCAUUGGUCAAAAGCUAAAGGAGUCACAGUCACCAUUUUCUUGCCUUGGGUGGCGAUUGCAAAGGCUCUAGGUGAAUUGGCCCACCUAGAGUGCUGGGUGGCUAAACAGGCCAAUUUAACAACUGAUGCCUUGACGAACCUCCUAGGUGAGGAGGAAACAUCGAGGCAGGCGACUCUUCAAAAUCGGGCGGCCAUUGAUUACCUCCUCCUACUGCAUGGCCACCGAUGCGAAGAGUUUGAGGGACUCUGUUGUUUUAAUUUGUCAUCCAAGGCAGAGAACAUCCAUGCUACCAUCCAGCGGAUGAAAGACAUGAUACCAUACAUCAAACGGGAGACAGGUGGCUGGCUAGACGAACUUUUCGGGAACUGGGGACUCACCGGCUGGGUUUCAUCCACUUUGAAGACUUUGUUACUGUGUUUGUUUAUUUUACUACUGACUGUGAUUUCCUUUGGACUCCUCAAAAGAAUGAUCUUAAAUUUGAUUUCCGCUUCACACCCCCCCUCAGUUAACCGAGUCACUGUAGAGCAAGAGGAAGAAGGAAUGGAGAUGGACGAGUUAGACAACGAUGAGGGUAGGAACCCCGAUUUGGAAGAUCAUGGACUGGGGUAUCCUACCCAACAUGAAUGGUUCGCCUCCAGUUAUCCCAAUUCAGAAUAUCUCCCUCCUCCCUUUCAGUUUACCUCAUCAUAAAACAAAAAAGGGGGAGAUGUGGCGGUGCGUUUUUAUUUUUGUUGAACUAUUAAUGAGCUCUGUGUAUGUUUUAAAAUUCUUUGUAAGUUGGUUUGUUCCUUGUACCCCCUGUUUGUCCUUAGUGGUUCUCUCCCUGGACUUGUUACGUAAUUGUUCGUUAUAUGUCAAUCAUCCCUACCCCCUCUACCCCAGUUGUCAAUCCCCUCUCUCUCCCCUUGGGCGCCCUGUCCAUCACUUAGGGGCCCUUCCCUGGGUUCUGGAAAGAUCCAGGAAGGGCGUCGAGUGGUUGGUGGGUGCCCGAAGAGUCCCCUCCCCCUUUCUUGGGAUUGGAUCCCCAUCUUGUGGUUAACACCCCUUGUUACGCCCCUUUGCUUUUCCAUUGGUCGACCGGUUGUCGCCUCCCCUGAACCCUCCCCCUGUUAAAAGUGGUUGCACAGCUCUGCUCGGGGCUCUCUGAGCGCAGUUGCCUCCCGAGGUAGAGCUCCGUCCGUGACUCCCUCAAUAAACCACCCUAUCGCACUGU